GAUGAACGCUGGCGGCGUGCUUAACACAUGCAAGUCGAACGGAAAGGCCCAAGCUUGCUUGGGUACUCGAGUGGCGAACGGGUGAGUAACACGUGGGUGAUCUGCCCUGCACUUCGGGAUAAGCCUGGGAAACUGGGUCUAAUACCGGAUAGGACGAUGGUUUGGAUGCCAUUGUGGAAAGUUUUUUCGGUGUGGGAUGAGCUCGCGGCCUAUCAGCUUGUUGGUGGGGUAAUGGCCUACCAAGGCGUCGACGGGUAGCCGGCCUGAGAGGGUGUACGGCCACAUUGGGACUGAGAUACGGCCCAGACUCCUACGGGAGGCAGCAGUGGGGAAUAUUGGACAAUGGGCGCAGGCCUGAUGCAGCGACGCCGCGUGGGGGAUGACGGCCUUCGGGUUGUAAACUCCUUUCGCUAGGGACGAAGCGUUUUUGUGACGGUACCUGGAGAAGAAGCACCGGCUAACUACGUG
Molecule: ribosomal RNA, 468 nt
Filed under: uncultured bacterium
Lineage: Bacteria
Description: partial 16S ribosomal RNA
Rfam family: Bacterial small subunit ribosomal RNA
Source: RNAcentral